UACGGAGGACGCGAGCGUUAUUCGGAUUUACUGGGUGUAAAGGGAGCGUAGACGGCAUAGCAAGUCUGAAGUGAAAUGCGGGGGCUCAACCCCUGAACUGCUUUGGAAACUGUUAAGCUAGAGUGUCGGAGAGGUAAGUGGAAUUCCUAGUGUAGCGGUGAAAUGCGUAGAUAUUAGGAGGAACACCGGUGGCGAAGGCGGCUUACUGGACGAUAACUGACGUUGAGGCUCGAAAGCGUGGGGAGCAAAC
RNAcentral lists this ribosomal RNA (250 nucleotides) under uncultured prokaryote. RNAcentral's name for it is "partial 16S ribosomal RNA". It matches the Rfam family "Bacterial small subunit ribosomal RNA", at positions 524 to 773 of the family's 1533-position model. The record is from RNAcentral.